UACAGAGGUCCCGAGCGUUGUUCGGAUUUACUGGGCGUAAAGGGUGCGUAGGCGGUUGGGUAAGUCUGAUGUGAAAUCCCCGGGCUCAACCCGGGAACGGCAUCGGAAACUACCUGGCUUGAGGAUUGGAGGGGGGACUGGAAUUCCCGGUGUAGCAGUGAAAUGCGUAGAUAUCGGGAGGAACACCAGUGGCGAAGGCGAGUCCCUGGACAAUUCCUGACGCUGAGGCACGAAAGCCAGGGGAG
Molecule: ribosomal RNA, 245 nt
Filed under: uncultured bacterium
Lineage: Bacteria
Description: partial 16S ribosomal RNA
Rfam family: Bacterial small subunit ribosomal RNA
Source: RNAcentral